Molecule: long non-coding RNA, 302 nt
Filed under: Androctonus crassicauda
Lineage: Eukaryota; Metazoa; Arthropoda; Arachnida; Scorpiones; Buthidae
Source: RNAcentral
CAAAAUUUAUUCACAAGGGAACAUCACACCCGAUGUGUCGGGGAUUUUGCCGAUGUUUUGUCGUAUGAAGGAGCGUGAACAGUGGAUGAGGAAUCACUCCUAUAUUGGGACCACUACUCUGGCGUUGUUGAGAAGAUCGCUUUUGAAAUUUCGGAGAUUUUUUGUUUUGCUUGGGUGGCGAAUGCUCGGACAUUCUGCUGCAUGUUGCAGUGGCGUGGUGGCUGCGUUGGGGUUCCGACGGUCGGAGGUUGUAGGUUCGAUUCUCUGAUUCUCGAAUUUUUUUUUUUUUUUCUCUGAUCUUG